This 468-nucleotide ribosomal RNA is filed under the name uncultured bacterium. Its description in RNAcentral is "partial 16S ribosomal RNA". It matches the Rfam family "Bacterial small subunit ribosomal RNA", at positions 28 to 507 of the family's 1533-position model. The record is from RNAcentral.
GACGAACGCUGGCGGCGUGCUUAACACAUGCAAGUCGAACGGAAAGGCCCUGCUUUUGUGGGGUGCUCGAGUGGCGAACGGGUGAGUAACACGUGAGUAACCUGCCCUUGACUUUGGGAUAACUUCAGGAAACUGGGGCUAAUACCGGAUAGGAGCUCCUGCUGCAUGGUGGGGGUUGGAACGUUUCGGCGGUUGGGGAUGGACUCGCGGCUUAUCAGCUUGUUGGUUGGGUAGUGGCUUACCAAGGCUUUGACGGGUAGCCGGCCUGAGAGGGCGACCGGCCACAUUGGGACUGAGAUACGGCCCAGACUCCUACGGGAGGCAGCAGUGGGGAAUAUUGCACAAUGGGCGGAAGCCUGAUGCAGCAACGCCGCGUGCGGGAUGACGGCCUUCGGGUUGUAAACCGCUUUCGCCUGUGACGAAGCGUGAGUGACGGUAAUGGGUAAAGAAGCACCGGCUAACUACGUG